This 478-nucleotide ribosomal RNA is filed under the name uncultured bacterium. RNAcentral describes it as "bacterial SSU rRNA". It matches the Rfam family "Bacterial small subunit ribosomal RNA", at positions 29 to 516 of the family's 1533-position model. The record is from RNAcentral.
AACGAACGCUGGCGGCGCGUCUUAAGCAUGCAAGUCGAACGAUCUGUAGCAAUACAGGGAGUGGCGGACGGGUGAGGAACACGUAGGAAUCUACCUUGAAGAGCGGGACAACUUUGGGAAACCGGGGCUAAUACCGCAUAGUACAGAGAUGUUAAAGGGCUAGCAAUAGUCGCUUCGAGAUGAGCCUGCGGUCUAUCAGCUUGUUGGUGAGGUAAUGGCUCACCAAGGCUACGACGGAUAGCCGGUCUGAGAGGAUGAUCGGCCACACUGGCACUGAGACACGGGCCAGACUCCUACGGGAGGCAGCAGUUAAGAAUCUUGCGCAAUGGGGAAACCCUGACGCAGCGACGCCGCGUGAAGGAUGAAGGCUUUCGGGUUGUAAACUUCGGUAGACUGGGAAGAAGAAAUAACGUUCGUUAGAGGGCGAUAUAGUGACGGUACCAGUCUGAAGCCCCGGCUAAGUUACGUGCCAGCAGCC